GCGGAAGUAGCUCAUUUGGUAGAGCGGAAGCCUUCCAAGCUUCAGGUGGCGGGUUCGAGCCCCGUCUUCCGCU
RNAcentral lists this transfer RNA (73 nucleotides) under Bacteroidota bacterium. Its description in RNAcentral is "Bacteroidetes bacterium tRNA-Gly". It matches the Rfam family "tRNA". From Rfam's summary of the family: Transfer RNA (tRNA) molecules are approximately 80 nucleotides in length. Lineage: Bacteria; Pseudomonadati; Bacteroidota. RNAcentral also lists the same sequence under 4 other names. The record is from RNAcentral.